UACGUAGGUGGCAAGCGUUGUCCGGAUUUACUGGGUGUAAAGGGCGUGUAGCCGGGCUUACAAGUCAGAUGUGAAAUCCGGGGGCUCAACCCCCGAACUGCAUUUGAAACUGUAGGUCUUGAGUAUCGGAGAGGCAGGCGGAAUUCCUAGUGUAGCGGUGAAAUGCGUAGAUAUUAGGAGGAACACCAGUGGCGAAGGCGGCCUACUGGACGGUGACUGACGCUGAGGCUCGAAAGCGUGGGGAGCAAACAGG
This 253-nucleotide ribosomal RNA is filed under the name uncultured bacterium. RNAcentral's name for it is "partial 16S ribosomal RNA". It matches the Rfam family "Bacterial small subunit ribosomal RNA", at positions 524 to 776 of the family's 1533-position model. The record is from RNAcentral.